This 422-nucleotide ribosomal RNA is filed under the name uncultured bacterium. RNAcentral describes it as "bacterial SSU rRNA". It matches the Rfam family "Bacterial small subunit ribosomal RNA", at positions 355 to 774 of the family's 1533-position model. The record is from RNAcentral.
UGAGGAAUAUUGGUCAAUGGGGGCAACCCUGAACCAGCCAAGUCGCGUGAAGGAUGAAGGUCUUAUGGAUUGUAAACUUCUUUUACACGGGAAUAAAGUGGGGGACGUGUCCCCCUUUGCAUGUACCGUGUGAAUAAGGAUCGGCUAACUCCGUGCCAGCAGCCGCGGUAAUACGGAGGAUCCGAGCGUUAUCCGGAUUUAUUGGGUUUAAAGGGUGCGCAGGCGGGAUGUUAAGCCGGCGGUGAAAUUUUGCAGCUCAACUGUAAAAGUGCCUUCGAUACUGGCCUCCUUGAGUGUGGAUGAAGUAGGCGGAAUUUGUGGUGCAGCGGUGAAAUGCUUAGAUAUCACGAGGAACUCCGAUUGCGCAGGCAGCUUACUAAGCCACAACUGACGCUCAUGCACGAAGGCGUGGGGAUCAAACA